GGCAUAGUGACCCCGCUGUUGAGUAUUAUCCUACAAAAAGGCAGCUCUGUCAACUAAGACAGCUAUAAUGACCACUUGUACCACAUCCAGAGUAAACUAAAAACCAAACAAGUGGAGUGUUAUAUCAAAAAAUGUUAUUUAUUAUAAAAUAUAAAAAUGGAG
Molecule: long non-coding RNA, 162 nt
Organism: Bufo bufo (common toad)
Lineage: Eukaryota; Metazoa; Chordata; Amphibia; Anura; Bufonidae
Exons: 3
Source: RefSeq, a predicted model, not a curated record